This is a long non-coding RNA of Orcinus orca (killer whale), 513 nucleotides long. RefSeq lists it as uncharacterized. The record is from RefSeq and is a predicted model, not a curated record. The transcript is spliced from 4 exons. NCBI's taxonomy places the organism in Eukaryota, Metazoa, Chordata, Mammalia, Artiodactyla, Delphinidae.
CUCCGUUCCUGGGAGAGCAUUCACCAUUAUCGAUGGCAACUGUGGAAGCACCUGUAGAUUCUCUGUAGCUCGCAGCUCCUGCCUCAACAGCUGCCUAGACAAUGGCUUCUGCCCAGAUGACCACCCCGGGAUCGCAGGAGCCUGGCUCUAUGACAGCCCGAGAGCAACAAAACCUCCCCUGGGAGUGCCUUCUGUCUCCUAGCCCUGAGCACAGCAAUACAAAAUGCCUCUCCCAGGACCUACCAACUUGCACAAGUCUGAAAGGAAAGCUACUGGAAGAUACUCACCAUUAUGAUGAGGGACAAAACCAAGAAGGACGUCGUCUCCAAGAAACAGCAGGUGCACCUGCAGAGAAAGGUGCAGUGCAGUCCCCAGAGGACGACAAGGUCUAAAAUUUUGCCAAUAGAAAGGUGGGAAGAAAAAAAGUUUAUAAAUCCAAUGGACUCAAGGCCAGACUGUUGGGGUGCCCAGGGGUGCCAAGGGGAGGACAGCCAGCAAAGACAAGAGAGCAAC